UAGGGAAUCUUCGGCAAUGGGGGGAACCCUGACCGAGCAACGCCGCGUGAGUGAAGAAGGUUUUCGGAUCGUAAAGCUCUGUUGUUAAGGAAGAACGAGUGUGAGAAUGGAAAGUUCAUGCUGUGACGGUACUUAACCAGAAAGGGACGGCUAACUACGUGCCAGCAGCCGCGGUAAUACGUAGGUCCCGAGCGUUGUCCGGAUUUAUUGGGCGUAAAGCGAGCGCAGGCGGUUAGAAAAGUCUGAAGUGAAAGGCAGUGGCUCAACCAUUGUAGGCUUUGGAAACUGUUUGACUUGAGUGCAGAAGAGGAGAGUGGAAUUCCAUGUGUAGCGGUGAAAUGCGUAGAUAUAUGGAGGAACACCGGUGGCGAAAGCGGCUCUCUGGUCUGUAACUGACGCUGAGGCUCGAAAGCGUGGGGAGCGAACAGG
RNAcentral lists this ribosomal RNA (429 nucleotides) under Verrucomicrobiota bacterium. Its description in RNAcentral is "Verrucomicrobia bacterium partial 16S ribosomal RNA". It matches the Rfam family "Bacterial small subunit ribosomal RNA", at positions 355 to 776 of the family's 1533-position model. Lineage: Bacteria; Pseudomonadati; Verrucomicrobiota. The record is from RNAcentral.